GGGGAUACAGCUCAGUUGGUAAAGUGCUUGCCUUACAUGCAUAAGGAUCCUGGGUUCAAUCCCAGCACCACCA
This 73-nucleotide transfer RNA is filed under the name Ictidomys tridecemlineatus (thirteen-lined ground squirrel). RNAcentral's name for it is "Spermophilus tridecemlineatus (thirteen-lined ground squirrel) tRNA". It matches the Rfam family "tRNA". From Rfam's summary of the family: Transfer RNA (tRNA) molecules are approximately 80 nucleotides in length. Lineage: Eukaryota; Metazoa; Chordata; Mammalia; Rodentia; Sciuridae. The record is from Rfam by way of RNAcentral.